RNAcentral lists this ribosomal RNA (253 nucleotides) under uncultured bacterium. RNAcentral describes it as "partial 16S ribosomal RNA". It matches the Rfam family "Bacterial small subunit ribosomal RNA", at positions 524 to 776 of the family's 1533-position model. The record is from RNAcentral.
UACGUAGGAGGCAAGCGUUGUCCGGAAUUACUGGGCGUAAAGCGCGUGUAGGUGGUGGGACAAGUCUGCUGUGAAAGCGCCUGGCUUAACCGGGCGAGGUCGGCGGAAGCUGUUCGACUCGAGGACGGUAGAGGGGGGUGGAAUUCCCGGUGUAGUGGUGAAAUGCGUAGAGAUCGGGAGGAACACCUGUGGCGAAGGCGGCCCCCUGGGCCGGCCCUGACACUGAGACGCGAAGGCGUGGGGAGCGAACGGG